AUACGUAGGGUGCAAGCGUUAAUCGGAAUUACUGGGCGUAAAGCGUGCGCAGGCGGUUUUGUAAGACAGAGGUGAAAUCCCCGGGCUCCACCUGGGAACUGCCUUUGUGACUGCAAGGCUAGAGUACGGCAGAGGGGGGUGGAAUUCCGCGUGUAGCAAGGGAAUGCGUAGAUAUGCGGAGGAACACCGAUGGCGAAGGCAAUCCCCUGGGCCUGUACUGACGCUCAUGCACGAAAGCGUGGGGAGCAAACAGGAUUAGAUACCCUGGUAGUCCACGCCCUAAACGAUGUCAACUGGUUGUUGGGUCUUCAUUGACUCAGUAACGAAGCUAACGCGUGAAGUUGACCGCCUGGGGAGUACGGCCGCAAGGUUGAAACUCAAAUGAAUUGACGGGG
RNAcentral lists this ribosomal RNA (395 nucleotides) under uncultured bacterium. Its description in RNAcentral is "partial 16S ribosomal RNA". It matches the Rfam family "Bacterial small subunit ribosomal RNA", at positions 523 to 918 of the family's 1533-position model. The record is from RNAcentral.